Molecule: transfer RNA, 70 nt
Organism: Ovis aries (sheep)
Lineage: Eukaryota; Metazoa; Chordata; Mammalia; Artiodactyla; Bovidae
Rfam family: tRNA
About the family: Transfer RNA (tRNA) molecules are approximately 80 nucleotides in length. Their secondary structure includes four short double-helical elements and three loops (D, anti-codon, and T loops).
Source: Rfam
UCCUGUAGCUCAGAGGGUAAAGAAUCUGCCUGAAUUGCAGGAGAUCCGGGUUCGAUCCCUGGUUCAGGAU